CAAAGAUACCAAGCUUUGUUAACACACUGUUUUUGCCUCUCUGUCUUGCUGUUGACUUGAGAACUCCAUCUGUUUUCUACCAUGCAGCUUGCCAUCCUUUCUAUUGCUUUGAUGACAUGGAUGUUCUUGGUUUUCCCAGGUGCUGUUGCUGAAGGAGAAAUGUCUGCUGCCGACUGCCAGGAGCAAGGUGGUCGUUGUGUCAAAGAAUGUGACGACGAUGAGGACAAGGGUGAAGCUUGUACAGGAGGGAUGUGUUGUAAAGAAACUUGCAAAAAUAAUCUCUGAACUGGAAAGUAAAGCUGAAAGCAGAAGACAAAUUUUACUAUUAAAGUCACUAAUAAGGAUGAUUUGAGACACAAAAAAUACUUUCCAGAAAGUGUGACCAUGAAGUGAAGAAGCUUCCUCGUUAAUCAAUGGAUCUGUUCUUCGUCUUUUCUUUAUGUCAACAACUACCAAACAGAGAAUAAAUCCCAAGUUUCUGAAA
Molecule: long non-coding RNA, 484 nt
Organism: Pantherophis guttatus
Lineage: Eukaryota; Metazoa; Chordata; Lepidosauria; Squamata; Colubridae
Source: RefSeq, a predicted model, not a curated record